CUGAACAAUGAUCCCCGGUCAGUAUUUAAAGCUCUAGAUAGAUUUAAAGUCUAAGGUACUUAGAUUUGAGGAGGCAGUCUGAGAUAUUUGAGAAAAAAAUCUAACUCUGAUGUUUGACUUAAACAAUAAUUCUGGCCGUAUCUGGAUUGAAAACAAUAAUCUUGUCCAUUUUUUUUUAUUAUUAGAAACGACAAUUUCCAACAGAAUUAUUUAGCAUUAAAUGAACAUUGGGGCUGGGUUUCCAUGUCUUACCGGAAUGUCUGUUUCGCCGAACUGAUAUAUUGAAUACUUUUUUCAAAACCAGACUGCAACCUGUCUACUGGGUGUGGCCUUAAUGUCUCCAUUUGUCGACCGGCAUUCAUAAAUUCGUUGUCAUUUCAGACUCAUUCGUAGCCUUUUGGUUGAUUUGGAACCC
This 415-nucleotide long non-coding RNA is filed under the name Mytilus galloprovincialis (Mediterranean mussel). Lineage: Eukaryota; Metazoa; Mollusca; Bivalvia; Mytilida; Mytilidae. The record is from RNAcentral.